This is an RNA transcript of Amyelois transitella, 1901 nucleotides long. It is a transcript of the gene named prostamide/prostaglandin F synthase, with no coding region annotated. The record is from RefSeq and is a predicted model, not a curated record. The transcript is spliced from 8 exons. Lineage: Eukaryota; Metazoa; Arthropoda; Insecta; Lepidoptera; Pyralidae.
GUCUUUUACAAAAUAAUUUUAUUUUUAUUCGCAUUUGCGAAAGGAAACGGUUGCGUCUUUCACUCGAUAAGAAAAUUAAUUAAAAAGCAUUUUGUUUCCUAAAUAUAAUUUUGGAUUUUCAAAAAUGACUACCGACAUCAAUGAGAUUGGAUCACAGAAGAUCAAAAGUGUAACAACUGGUGAGAGUUUGGAGCUCCGAAACUUCUGGCAGGACCAGAACGUGGCCAUCAUCUUCUUCCGGCGCUGGGGCUGUAUGCUGUGCAGACUGUGGGCUAAGGAGCUUGGUGAGAUCGCUCCAGUGCUGAAGAAGAACAAUAUAAAGCUGGUGGGUGUGGGCGUAGAAGAGCUUGGUUCUAAGGAGUUCGUCGAGGGGAAAUUCUUUGAUGGAGACCUUUAUUACGUGGAGAACCAGUCAACUUACCAGACGCUAGGGUUCAAGCGUUUCAACGUUGUGACAAUCAUCACGUCUUUAUUCUGGAAACAGUCAAGAGAUGCCAUCUUCAAGGGGAGAGGAAUGGGACUCGGUGGGGAUCUAAAGGGGGACUGGGUUCAAACCGGCGGCGCUCUGUUGGUGCAAAAAGGCGGGAAUCUGUUACGCCAUUUUGUACAAACUGGACCUGGGGAUCAUCUCUCCAAUUUGGACAUUCUGAAGCACUUCGGACUUGAAAACGAGUAUAAACCAGAGACAAUGGCCAAUAAGAAGCAAGAGGAAUGCACUACAGAAAACAAGGCUUAAAUCCUGGAUGGACUCGCUCAAAACCAGCGCCCUGGGUCCCAUUCACACUAUAUGGACGGAGAGGAGGUGUCUCGCGCGCAAACUCGGUCAUAGAGAUUGAGCCGGCAAUGUAUUGAAAAUAUCACGACCCAGGUAUUAUUAAACCAGUUGUUUUUGUUUGUUUGUACGCAUAAAUCUGUGGUAUUACAUAAAAUUAACAUUUGAAUCACACAAAAAAAACAUUUAAUUACAUAAAAUAUGUGAUAUAAUAAAUUAAAUUAUAUUCUCAAUAAAAUUUAUAAUAAAUGAUAUACUAGUAUAAAAUUGUCUUAAAUCAAACAAUUAUGUCAGAAACAAAAUAAUUAUUUCCUGGGUCGAGUGCGCAUGCGCGUCAACUAUACAAAAACCUAGUAUCUUUUCUUCCCAAUAUCUAUAGUUACUGUCUUCGAACCAUUUCUUAUUCAAUAAUUGAAAUCAAAAUUAUUGUGUAAAAUAUUAAUGUUACAGUUAUAUUGUUGUAAACUCUAUUAUUAAAACUUGUGUUAUUUACAUUUUAACACAAGUUAUUAACGCGAUAAUAAGCAGUUAUUCUCACUAAAAUUAAAUAAUAGAUAUAUUUAACAAAAUAUGCAUAUCUGCUGCAUUAAAGUGCUUAUUAUUUUAGUCGAAUAAAAGUUAUUAUGACAUUCCAUAGUUUUUUAAACAAAACAUAUUUAAAAAAGAAUGUAUCGAAACGUUUUUAUAUAAGGAAUAUAUAUUUAAUUAAAUUUUGAAAUUAAAAGACUGUUGAUGGCAUAAAAAAUAUGUCGAUAUUGUACCUACACUAAAUUCUAUAAAGAGUGUUGAGAAUACCUAACUUAUUCUUUGAAAUUGUCCAAAAUCUAUUAAUAUUUUUAUAUUUAUCGUUGACAUUAUAACGAUACAUUUUUAAAAAAAUGUAAAAAACUUAAAUUUAUUAAUCAAAACUUAAAAAUCAAAACAAAAAAAAAUUAGUUUCUUUUACGAAAAAAUUGAGCCUAGAAACUUGUUUAGAUUUUUUUUUGUGUUUUGUAAAAAAUAUUGAAAUUUGUAGUUUUAUUUGUUGUUAAAACAAAUCUGCAUUUAUUGUAAUCUUUGUUUUGUGUGGGAUGUCUCUCUAUAUGAUUGUAACCAUAUCAUUCUAGUUUUAAUGUUUUGUUUUGUCGCA